GUUUGUGCCGCGCGCCCGCCAGACCGCCCAGGAGGCGGCGGCUAUUGUUCCCCGCAGGGGCCCGGGGCGCCCUGAAACGGGGUCCACGUCAGCCCGCUCCCGAGCGUGUCCUCAGCGCUGUGAACAAUGGAGCCAUCAAAAAGGCCUUCUCCCAGCCUCCUCACCAACCACGGACAUUCCUGGCCCAACAAGACCUCCUGGCCAGGUUUUGAGCCCUGCUUCCCAGAUCUGGGGACCCUUCACCUGCCUCUACUACUGCAAAUGAUUGGAUAUUCGUCUGACUUGGCUCUUCCCUAAUGUGUGGAACUAAUUUUGUUCACUCUGUUUCAUGCUGGACCUGGCCUGAAAAUGGGCCCUUAUAUUGUCUUUGCACUUUCCAACUUGCCAAGUUUCUGAAAGAAGGACCAAAGUAAUGCCAAGAACUCCCAGAUGAAGAGGACCUUCCUUAGACCUAUAACAGAUUCACUACUUGACUUCAGAGGGAAGUUUCAGCUAAUUCUCAGGAAAAGGUCAAAACAGGCCUGUGACUGUCCCUUGAAUACUGAAGGUAUAAACAAGCUUCUGGCUCCUCCAGGUCAAGCAGAGGAACACUUUUAUUAGAAUGAAGGGUUACUUCUUUGUUAUUCAAACACACACCCACACACAUCCUCUGUAGUCUCCCUAAUGAAAAACCUCAACAGAUGGAGAGCCUGAGCUCCCAAGUCCGCAGGCUGAGAAGAUGCACUUCACUCAAGGGCCAGUGGGCUGGUACAGACUAGGGAAGAGAAAAGGGACAAAGGCUGCUAGUAUAGGUAAUCACUAUCUUUUAAUACUCCUAACACAUAGAAAUUCGAAAAAUCUUGUUCAGCAAUGUUAGCAGCCUGUGAGCCUCGGAAACUAAUUUGGCUGAUGUGUCUCUGAUAGGGAGCUUGGGGCUGCACCAAGGGGAAACAUUCUCCUCCUGUAUUCUCUCCUCUCUCUCGUUUGAAAGCCUGUACAAAGAAAUGGUACAAAUGGAUGGUUAACUUAAUGAUUCCAUCAGAGGCAGAUUUUUCUCUGUCAGGUCCCUGGAUAAGGUGGAGGUCUGAAAGCCAGGAGACAGAAUAUGUACUUAAUCGCCCUUUCUGACCUGCUUACCAGUGACCAGGACUACUCUCCAGGCCUUUCUUCUGCCACUUCCCCAUUCUUCCUGGCUAGUUCAGUUGGGUCUCAGCACUUCAACUCCUGGCUGGAUCCUGAGUUUUUCUUGGUUGCAGGGAAAGCUCUCACUGUCUGCAUCUCCUUCCCCACCCCCACCUCCCGUUUUGCAGCUGGCCAUUCUGGCUGCCUCACAGCUAUCCUGCCUUAAUUCAUAUUUGAUUGCCUGGACAGAACCACCUAGAAUGUCCAGACGACUGCCACCCCUCAGCCAUGGGCCUGAGAUCCUGCCCUGACCCCUUUCUUCAGACCCCAGGAGGACCCACAAUCUCCCUGAUCCCCACCUUCCCCAAAGUAGUCUCUAGGAAAAAAGCAGAGCUGGCUAAGGCCUGAGACAGAGCCAUUUCUUCCCCUUGGGCAAACGAGGUAGACCCUCCCAGAGACCAAUGCCGGAGAGGCCCGGAUCCGAGCUCCCUUUAUAUGGCCUCCCCCAUCACGGAUCCCGUGGGAAAACCUGACACACAAUGGCGCGGCUGCUCCGGGCACCCUCAACCCAGCGCCCUGCGGCAAGGCCUGGAGCAGCCUGGUGGUCUUGGUGCGCUCCCUUUGCCCUCCCCGCAACCCUCUGCGAGCACUCGUCCCAGGAGAGAGACCCUGGCUAGGGUGGAGGUUGCCUCCCGCAAAGGGCGCUGUUGCUGGGGCCUCCCCUCCCCCAUUCUCUUGUUUUUCUGCUUCUGAGACUCGGGAGGGAGGCGGCAGGCGCCUCCGCAGCCGAUAGAGCAGCUAUUGUGACCUUCCCUUGCAGAGCGGGAACCCAGCCGAGUGUGUACCGCCGGCGGUGGCGGGGGAGGAGGCGACUGUGUGUGCAAACCUCAGUCGGAGAGGGGGUGGCGCUGGGAAAUAAAGGUUUGCAACCUCAGGCAGUUGGGCCCUUCAGAGGGCGUUUGGUUGUGUUUAGACUCGGUUGCUUUCUAACACUAAUUGCAGGCUCAAAAGGAGCGGAAUUUAUUGCGAAGGCCAAGGCGGCUUGUUUAUAAUUUAUGAAGUUUUAAAUGGCUGUGCCGCGGGCCCCAACUUUCUCCUGGGCUGGCAGCCGCGCGGAAACGCGCCCUCCCCCGGCUCGCCGCCCACCCCCACCCACGCCCCUCAGAUGAGUCUCACGCCAAUGGCAGGAACAGAUCCGAGCUAUUAGAAGUCUCGGGAACCUCCAGAGAUGACAGAAGGUGGCAGAUUUGGUCCAAGCCCUCACCCCACUCGAGAGGAGGGCGUCGGGGAAAGCUGUGGCUGCCUGGAGAGGGAGCCCCUGAUCCCACACUUCCUUGGAGCCUGAGUGUGAGAGGAAGCUAAUGUCAGCCGGGCUAGACACCGUUUAAAGUCUAAUCCAUGAAACCCUAAGCCGCAAAUGACACUUGGGGCUUUGCAGACACCCGCAGACUCAGCAGAUACUCCUGCGGUAACACACUGUGCUGGAAAACGCCUGGAGCCAUGACACAUUACGUAUUUUUAUUAUUAUUUAUGGUAGGAAGAGGAGAUGAGGGAAAAUCGGGCUGAAUCUAAGCAGCCUGACAAUUCAGCUAGUUAAUAUUUAGCCAGUUAAGAAAGGUGGUUGUAAUCCCUGCAAGGCAGUGAGCUCUCCUUUGAUUUCUCUAAUAGCUUAAAAAAUAAUUUCUUACAAGACAAUUAGAAAUUCUGCCUAUGGAUGCAAAUUUCAUAGAAAACAAUGUUAAGCCUUGAAAGUGGGUAAAAUGUGCCUUCGAUUGAAGUCAUUUAUUCUGUUGAUACACUUCUACAACAUAUAUAUUUUAAACCUGCUCAGAUAAAGUGAAAUUUAGCAAAAGGAUAUCCCCUCCCACCCCCAAAUCUAACAUGCCAUUUUAAAAACAGCACAAAGGAACAAGGAAACUAAAUAUUAUUUUGAGCCAUCAUUACUUAGUGAAAUACAAACAUCCAAAUAGAAACGAUUGUUGUUCCACCAGAAGAUUAGAAGUUAAAUUAUUUCCACACAAUAGGAAUUUCACUUCGUGUCAUCGGGGAUGUAGUAGGAGUUGCAUUAUUUGUCAAACCAAAUAGAGAUGCGUGGGCUGACUUUGCUGAAAUACAAAAGAAUUGAACCUUAUCUGAAGGCGUUUUCUAAGUGGCCCCUCCCAUAGAAGCCGGGAAGUUGUCCACCCCUAGCAGAAGCCACAUUAAUAUUUACAAAAUGGUUAUAAAUCCUUGAAGACAUUUUUGCCCAUUUUGUAUAAGAAACAGGAGUAAACAAGGUGUUUAUACUUGUUAUGUUUCAUUAAUGAAAUAUUAUUACUUUACAUCUUGGGGAAUGUUUGUUUUCUUUAGAAAUGAACUAAUGAUCACUACAAAGGAAGAAUUCAUGACAGCAUUUCCUAGAGAAAAAGCUUAGGUACGCGUCUCCAAAUGAUGGUUUCUUUUUCUACACCUUAGCUUUUUCAUAGCUCAAUUCUUCUUACAACUUCUCUUGUGUUUUUUCUUUGAUUGUCAGUUUUCUUUCAAAGUUUAUUUUUUGUUACUUAAUGCAGAAAAGUGAGCUCUGGUCUCCCCAGUGUAAAAGUCGAUUGUGUCUAGAAAGAAGGCAGUAAAAACAGCAAAGCAGGCGCUGCUUUCAAAAAGCCCUGCCCAAAUCAUCCCGCCCAGAACCUUCUUAGGUUUGCAUCCUCAUUUCCCCCUCCCCUAAUUUCAAUAGCUGGAAAGUAAUCAAGUAUCCCGAGAACCAAUUUAUGCACUAGACUCCAAAUAAAUAAAAUAUUUUUUUCAAAGUGUCA
This 3893-nucleotide long non-coding RNA is filed under the name Homo sapiens (human). RNAcentral's name for it is "non-protein coding HAGLR:19". Lineage: Eukaryota; Metazoa; Chordata; Mammalia; Primates; Hominidae. The record is from RNAcentral.